GGGAAGAUUCUAUCGGUAUGGGAUGGGGUCGCGUCCUAUCAGGUAGUCGGCGGGGUAACGGCCCACCGAGCCUACGACGGGUAGCCGGCCUGAGAGGGCGACCGGCCACAUUGGGACUGAGAUACGGCCCAGACUCCUACGGGAGGCAGCAGUGGGGAAUAUUGCACAAUGGGCGCAAGCCUGAUGCAGCGACGCCGCGUGCGGGAUGACGGCCUUCGGGUUGUAAACCGCUUUUGACUGGGAGCAAGCCCUUCGGGGUGAGUGUACCUUUCGAAUAAGCACCGGCUAACUACGUGCCAGCAGCCGCGGUAAUACGUAGGGUGCAAGCGUUAUCCGGAAUUAUUGGGCGUAAAGGGCUCGUAGGCGGUUCGUCGCGUCCGGUGUGAAAGUCCAUCGCUUAACGGUGGAUCCGCGCCGGGUACGGGCGGGCUUGGGUGCGGUAGGGGAGACUGGAAUUCCCGGUGUAACGGUGG
Molecule: ribosomal RNA, 473 nt
Filed under: uncultured Bifidobacterium sp.
Lineage: Bacteria; Bacillati; Actinomycetota; Actinomycetes; Bifidobacteriales; Bifidobacteriaceae
Description: bacterial SSU rRNA
Rfam family: Bacterial small subunit ribosomal RNA
Source: RNAcentral